Molecule: ribosomal RNA, 515 nt
Filed under: uncultured archaeon
Lineage: Archaea
Description: bacterial SSU rRNA
Rfam family: Archaeal small subunit ribosomal RNA
Source: RNAcentral
GCUCUAGUGGUAGCAAUUUUAUUGGGCCUAAAGCGUCCGUAGCCGGUUUAAUAAGUCUCUGGUGAAAUCCUGCAGCUUAACUGUGGGAAUUGCUGGAGAUACUAUUAGACUUGAGACCGGGAGAGGUUAGAGGUACUCCCAGGGUAGAGGUGAAAUUCUGUAAUCCUGGGAGGACCGCCUGUUGCGAAAGGCGUCUAACUGGAACGGUUCUGACGGUGAGGGACGAAAGUUAGGGGCGCGAACCGGAUUAGAUACCCGGGUAGUCCUAACUGUAAACGAUGCGGACUUGGUGUUGGGUGGCUUUGAGCUGCUUCAGUGCCGAAGGGAAGCUGUUAAGUCCGCCGCCUGGGAAGUACGGUCGCAAGACUGAACUUAAAGGAAUUGGCGGGGGAGCACCACAACGCGUGGAGCCUGCCGGUUUAAUUGGAUUCAACGCCGGACAUCUCACCAGAGGCGACAGCUGUAUGAUAGCCAGGUUGAUGACUUUGCUUGACUAGCUGAGAGGAGGUGCAUGG